This 497-nucleotide ribosomal RNA is filed under the name uncultured bacterium. RNAcentral describes it as "partial 16S ribosomal RNA". It matches the Rfam family "Bacterial small subunit ribosomal RNA", at positions 28 to 507 of the family's 1533-position model. The record is from RNAcentral.
GAUGAACGCUGGCGGCGUGCCUAAUACAUGCAAGUCGAGCGAACGGACGAGAAGCUUGCUUCUCUGAUGUUAGCGGCGGACGGGUGAGUAACACGUGGAUAACCUACCUAUAAGACUGGGAUAACUUCGGGAAACCGAAGCUAAUACCGGAUGAUAUUUUGAACCGCAUGGUUCAAAGGUGAAAGACGGUCUUGCUGUCACUUAUAGAUGGAUCCGCGCUGCAUUAGCUAGUUGGUAAGGUAACGGCUUACCAAGGCAACGAUGCAUAGCCGACCUGAGAGGGUGGUUGGCCACACUGGAACUGAGACACGGUCCCGACUCCUACGGGAGGCAGCAGUAGGGGAACUUCCGCAAUGGGCGGAAGCCUGACGGAGCAACGCCGCGUGAGUGAUGAAGGUCUUCGGAUCGUAAAACUCUGUUAUUAGGGAAGAACAUAUGUGUAAGUAACUGUGCACAUCUUGACGGUACCUAAUCAGAAAGCCACGGCUAACUACGUG